GAGGGGGAAGAAUUGUGUGAUUUUUCUACUUAAAUGCUCAUUGAUUUCACUAAUUAAAGUGAGUAAUUAGAGUGAGUAACUUAAUUAAACAUAAAGAGGGGGUUGAUUUUAAGGUGGUGAAUGCAUUGAAGGAAGGAUUUCAAGCUAGGGUUUGAAGAGGGAGAAGAAGAAAACUUGAUUUUUCUUGCAUUCUUUUCUUAAAUCCUUAUCAAAGUGAGAGGAGGCCGCAGGACCUAAUCAGCAACAAGGGACAUCUUCACGCGCACAGACACCAGGUACAUCGCACCCUCGUUCUGGAAAGUAGAUGCUUGGAUAAAUAAUUUUGUUAUGUGAUUAAUGUAAUUGGAAGAACUAAUGUUUUGUUAUAAUAUACUUCAAUAUCUAAAAAUGUAAUGUUUAACUUAUUAUCUUAUGUAUGAUGUAAUUUAUAAUGUUAUUAUUAUUAUUAAGUUGAAUUAUGGUUGGUUGUGUA
This is a long non-coding RNA of Populus trichocarpa (black cottonwood), 472 nucleotides long. RefSeq lists it as uncharacterized. NCBI's taxonomy places the organism in Eukaryota, Viridiplantae, Streptophyta, Magnoliopsida, Malpighiales, Salicaceae. The transcript has 3 exons. The record is from RefSeq and is a predicted model, not a curated record.